UUGCAUGAUGUGAGUAUAGGUUGUGAGAUUUAAAUAUCAUAACUAUCCCAGCCAUGUUGCAAACAAAAGUAAUUCGUGUUGACAUCUAACUCGAAUUAAUCCUAAUCAUUGACAUUAUUCAAGGGAACCCUUUUCUUGCAUUAUUUUCUAAUCGCAUGCACAAACAUGCCAUGUUUGCUAACCAGCAGCUCAAUUAGUUAAUGGUUAGCAAGUCAUAAGCAUUUUGUGUACGAGCAAGUUGGUGCCUCACUCUACGAAUGUGGGCUCUAAUCCCUGAUGGAACUCAUUCCCAAAGUAAUAGAAAAUGCUAAAAACAUUAUCAUUGUAUCACUUGUUUGCCAGGACCAAGCUGGCGAGAACACACUUGAUGGUGUAAAGGGAAACCCCAUGCUUGUGUCAAGUGAAACCUCAUGCUGUGAUGAGAGAUCUGCUUUUGGUGCGAAGGGGUACUUCCUCCUGCUGCUGAGAACAUCCUCCUGCUAAAGGCCAGUAGUGUCAAAAGGUCCCUGCUGGUGUGGAUACCUCCUGCUGCUGUGAAGGGAAACUUGCUGCCUAUGUGAACUGAACCAUCCUGCUAAAUUUAAGGGUAACCUCCUGCUGGUGUGAACUGAAGUAUGCUGCUUGUGUGAAGCUGGACAUCCUGCUAGAAUCAGGGAUAAUCUCCUGGUGCUGAGAGAAUCCCAAGAGUGCUGAGAGGUGUUUUCCUUCUGUGUGCCUCGUCUUCAGUUGCAGUGAAGAGAAUCUUCGGAAGUACAGAUAUGUAGUGAAGUGACCAUGCUGGCGAGAACACACUUGAUGGUGUAAAGGGAAACCCCAUGCUUGUGUCAAGUGAAACCUCAUGCUGUGAUGAGAGAUC
Molecule: long non-coding RNA, 856 nt
Organism: Haliotis rubra (blacklip abalone)
Lineage: Eukaryota; Metazoa; Mollusca; Gastropoda; Lepetellida; Haliotidae
Exons: 4
Source: RefSeq, a predicted model, not a curated record